GAUGAACGCUGGCGGCGUGCCUAAUACAUGCAAGUCGAGCGAACGGACGAGAAGCUCGCUCCUUUGAUGUUAGCGGCGGACGGGUGAGUAACACGUGGAUAACCUACCUAUAAGACUGGGAUAACUUCGGGAAACCGGAGCUAAUACCUGAUAAUAUUUUGCACUGCAUGGUUACAAAGUGAAAGACGGUCUUGCUGUCACUUAUAGAUGGAUCCGCGCUGCAUUAGAUAGUUGGUAAGGUAACGGCUUACCAAGGCAACGAUGCAUAGGCGACCUGAGAGGGUGGUCAGCCACACUAGAACUGAGACGCGGUCCGGACUCCUACGGGAGGCAGCGGAAGGGAAUCGUCCAUUAUUGGCGAAAGCCUAACGGGACAACGCCGAGUGGGUGAUGAAGGGCCUCGGAUCGUAAAACUCUGUUAUUAGGGAAGAACAUAUGUGUAAGUAACUGUGCACAUCUUGACGGUACCUAAUCAGAAAGCCACGGCUAACUACGUG
This 497-nucleotide ribosomal RNA is filed under the name uncultured bacterium. Its description in RNAcentral is "partial 16S ribosomal RNA". It matches the Rfam family "Bacterial small subunit ribosomal RNA", at positions 28 to 507 of the family's 1533-position model. The record is from RNAcentral.